AGCAGUCGCCCGGUAAUACGAAGGGUGCAAGCGUUACUCGGAAUUACUGGGCGUAAAGCGUGCGUAGGUGGUGGUUUAAGUCCGUUGUGAAAGCCCUGGGCUCAACCUGGGAAUUGCAGUGGAUACUGGGUCACUAGAGUGUGGUAGAGGAUAGUGGAAUUUCCGGUGUAGCAGUGAAAUGCGUAGAGAUCGGAAGGAACAUCUGUGGCGAAGGCGACUAUCUGGGCCAACACUGACACUGAGGCACGAAAGCGUGGGGAGCAAACAGGAUUAGAUACCCCUGUAGUCCCUGUCUCUUAUACA
RNAcentral lists this ribosomal RNA (303 nucleotides) under uncultured bacterium. RNAcentral describes it as "partial 16S ribosomal RNA". It matches the Rfam family "Bacterial small subunit ribosomal RNA", at positions 510 to 808 of the family's 1533-position model. The record is from RNAcentral.